RNAcentral lists this ribosomal RNA (406 nucleotides) under uncultured bacterium. Its description in RNAcentral is "partial 16S ribosomal RNA". It matches the Rfam family "Bacterial small subunit ribosomal RNA", at positions 29 to 526 of the family's 1533-position model. The record is from RNAcentral.
AUUGAACGCUGGCGGCAGGCCUAACACAUGCAAGUCGAGCGAGCGGCGGACGGGUGAGUAAUGUCUGGGAAACUGCCUGAUGGAGGGGGAUAACUACUGGAAACGGUAGCUAAUACCGCAUCCCAUCAGAUGUGCCCAGAUGGGAUUAGCUAGUAGGUGGGGUAAUGGCUCACCUAGGCGACGAUCCCUAGCUGGUCUGAGAGGAUGACCAGCCACGCUGGAACUGAGAAACGGUCCAGACUCCUACGGGAGGCAGCAGUGGGGAAUAUUGCACAAUGGGCGCAAGCCUGAUGCAGCCAGGCCGCGUGUGGGAGGAAGGCCUUCGGGUUGGAAAGCACUGUCAGCUGGGAGGCGUUAACCGCAGAAGAAACACCGGCUAACUCCGUGCCAGCAGCCGCGGUAAUUC